RNAcentral lists this unclassified non-coding RNA (210 nucleotides) under uncultured Agaricales. RNAcentral describes it as "sequence contains ITS2". Lineage: Eukaryota; Fungi; Basidiomycota; Agaricomycetes; Agaricales. The record is from RNAcentral.
AUACCUCACUCUUGGAUUCCUUGCGAAGCCCAAGACGUGGAUUCUGGAGGUUUGCAGGCCAUCACUGGUCAGCUCCUCUUAAAUGCAUUAGCGGAACUCUAUGCAGUACCAGCCUCGGUUUGAUAAUCCUAUCUAUGCUGUCGCUGUUGACUGUGCUGUUUGGCUUACAAUUGUCUUCGGACUGUCGCAUUUUUGUGGCACAAACUUUAA